This 137-nucleotide non-coding RNA is filed under the name bovine gut metagenome. RNAcentral describes it as "glmS glucosamine-6-phosphate activated ribozyme". It matches the Rfam family "glmS glucosamine-6-phosphate activated ribozyme aptamer", at positions 11 to 157 of the family's 167-position model. From Rfam's summary of the family: This entry contains a glucosamine-6-phosphate activated ribozyme that is found in the mRNA for GlmS. GlmS is an enzyme that uses fructose-6-phosphate and glutamine to generate glucosamine-6-phosphate. The record is from RNAcentral.
AGUUAAGCGCCAGACACUCGGGAAGAGUGUUAACGAGGAGGAAGAUCAUCGAAUUUUCGGCGGAUAUCUUCCCGGCAGAGUGAACUGCCGCAUACCGUUUACAAAACAGCGGGCAACCGCUCCACAAAAGAACGGUG